UACGUAGGGGGCAAGCGUUGUCCGGAUUUAUUGGGCGUAAAGAGCGUGUAGGCGGCUUUACAGGUCCGUUGUGAAAACUCGAGGCUCAACCUCGAGACGCCGGUGGAAACCGUAAAGCUAGAGUCCGGAAGAGGAGAGUGGAAUUCCUGGUGUAGCGGUGAAAUGCGCAGAUAUCAGGAAGAACACCCGUGGCGAAGGCGGCUCUCUGGAACGCAACUGACGCUGAGACGCGAAAGCGUGGGGAGCAAACAGG
RNAcentral lists this ribosomal RNA (253 nucleotides) under uncultured bacterium. RNAcentral's name for it is "partial 16S ribosomal RNA". It matches the Rfam family "Bacterial small subunit ribosomal RNA", at positions 524 to 776 of the family's 1533-position model. The record is from RNAcentral.